RNAcentral lists this ribosomal RNA (253 nucleotides) under uncultured bacterium. RNAcentral's name for it is "partial 16S ribosomal RNA". It matches the Rfam family "Bacterial small subunit ribosomal RNA", at positions 524 to 776 of the family's 1533-position model. The record is from RNAcentral.
UACGUAGGGGGCGAGCGUUGUCCGGAAUUAUUGGGCGUAAAGAGCGUGUAGGCGGCCAGGUAGGUCGGUUGUGAAAACUGGAGGCUUAACCUUCAGACGUCGACCGAAACCAUCUGGCUAGAGUCCGGAAGAGGAGAGUGGAAUUCCUGGUGUAGCGGUGAAAUGCGCAGAUAUCAGGAAGAACACCCGUGGCGAAGGCGGCUCUCUGGGACGGUACUGACGCUGAGACGCGAAAGCGUGGGGAGCGAACAGG